GAUGAACGCUGGCGGCGUGCCUAAUACAUGCAAGUCGAGCGAACAGACGAGGAGCUUGCUCCUCUGACGUUAGCGGCGGACGGGUGAGUAACACGUGGAUAACCUACCUAUAAGACUGGGAUAACUUCGGGAAACCGGAGCUAAUACCGGAUAAUAUAUUGAACCGCAUGGUUCAAUAGUGAAAGACGGUUUUGCUGUCACUUAUAGAUGGAUCCCCGCCGCAUUAGCUAGUUGGUAAGGUAACGGCUUACCAAGGCAACGAUGCGUAGCCGACCUGAGAGGGUGAUCGGCCACACUGGAACUGAGACACGGACCAGACUACUACGGGAGGCAGCAGUAGGGAAUCUUCCGCAAUGGGCGAAAGCCUGACGGAGCAACGCCGCGUGAGUGAUGAAGGUCUUCGGAGCGUAAAACUCUGUUAUUAGGGAAGAACAAAUGUGUAAGUAACUAUGCACGGCUUGACGGUACCUAAUCAGAAAGCCACGGCUAACUACGUG
Molecule: ribosomal RNA, 497 nt
Filed under: uncultured bacterium
Lineage: Bacteria
Description: partial 16S ribosomal RNA
Rfam family: Bacterial small subunit ribosomal RNA
Source: RNAcentral